Molecule: small nuclear RNA, 103 nt
Organism: Choloepus hoffmanni (Hoffmann's two-fingered sloth)
Lineage: Eukaryota; Metazoa; Chordata; Mammalia; Pilosa; Megalonychidae
Source: Ensembl
GUGCUUGCUUUGACAGCACAUUUACUAAAAAUGGAAUGAUAGAGAAAGUUAGCAUGGCCUCUGCACAGGAUGACAUGCAAAUUCAGAAGUGUUCCAUAUUUUU